RNAcentral lists this ribosomal RNA (382 nucleotides) under uncultured bacterium. RNAcentral describes it as "bacterial SSU rRNA". It matches the Rfam family "Bacterial small subunit ribosomal RNA", at positions 29 to 406 of the family's 1533-position model. The record is from RNAcentral.
AUUGAACGCUGGCGGCAGGCCUAACACAUGCAAGUCGAACGGCAGCACAGAAGAGCUUGCUCUUUGGGUGGCGAGUGGCGGACGGGUGAGUAACACGUAGGAAUCUACCCAGUAGUGGGGGAUAACCUGGGGAAACCCAGGCUAAUACCGCAUACGCCCUGAGGGGGAAAGCGGGGGAUCUUCGGACCUCGCGCUAUUGGAUGAGCCUGCGUCGGAUUAGCUAGUUGGUGGGGUAAGGGCCCACCAAGGCGACGAUCCGUAGCUGGUCUGAGAGGAUGACCAGUCACACCGGAACUGAGACACGGUCCGGACUCCUACGGGAGGCAGCAGUGGGGAAUAUUGGACAAUGGGCGCAAGCCUGAUCCAGCCAUGCCGCGUGGGU